This 234-nucleotide ribosomal RNA is filed under the name uncultured bacterium. RNAcentral's name for it is "partial 16S ribosomal RNA". It matches the Rfam family "Bacterial small subunit ribosomal RNA", at positions 118 to 350 of the family's 1533-position model. The record is from RNAcentral.
UGAGUAACCUGCCCUGGACUUUGGGAUAACCCUCGGGAAACGGGGGCUAAUACCGGAUAUGACGCACUCUCGCAUGGGAUGUGUGUGGAAAGUUUUUCGGUCUGGGAUGGGCUCGCGGCCUAUCAGCUUGUUGGUGAGGUAAUGGCUCACCAAGGCGACGACGGGUAGCCGGCCUGAGAGGGCGAUCGGCCACACUGGGACUGAGACACGGCCCAGACCUCCGUACGGGGAGCA